GACGAACGCUGGCGGCGUGCCUAAUACAUGCAAGUUGAGCGCUGAAGGUUGGUACUUGUACCGACUGGAUGAGCAGCGAACGGGUGAGUAACGCGUGGGGAAUCUGCCUUUGAGCGGGGGACAACAUUUGGAAACGAAUGCUAAUACCGCAUAAAAACUUUAAACACAAGUUUUAAGUUUGAAAGAUGCAAUUGCAUCACUCAAAGAUGAUCCCGCGUUGUAUUAGCUAGUUGGUGAGGUAAAGGCUCACCAAGGCGAUGAUACAUAGCCGACCUGAGAGGGUGACCGGCCACAUUGGGACUGAGACACGGCCCAAACUCCUACGGGAGGCAGCAGUAGGGAAUCUUCGGCAAUGGACGAAAGUCUGACCGAGCAACGCCGCGUGAGUGAAGAAGGUUCUCGGAUCGUAAAACUCUGUUGGUAGAGAAGAACGUUGGUGAGAGUGGAAAGCUCAUCAAGUGACGGUAACUACCCAGAAAGGGACGGCUAACUACGUG
RNAcentral lists this ribosomal RNA (497 nucleotides) under uncultured bacterium. RNAcentral describes it as "partial 16S ribosomal RNA". It matches the Rfam family "Bacterial small subunit ribosomal RNA", at positions 28 to 507 of the family's 1533-position model. The record is from RNAcentral.